Molecule: long non-coding RNA, 1430 nt
Organism: Apis mellifera (honey bee)
Lineage: Eukaryota; Metazoa; Arthropoda; Insecta; Hymenoptera; Apidae
Exons: 3
Source: RefSeq, a predicted model, not a curated record
AUCAAUUGAGCAGAUUUUUCUUUUUUAAUCUAGAACACUGCGAAAAACACAAUUACACUAGUAAAAUCAUGAAUUAAAAUUAAUUAAUGAGUUAAUCACAUUUAUUUAAUCACUUAAUCACAUUUGCAGUUACGUUAUUAAAAAUUAAUUUCGAUAUCAUGUCGAAUGCAACAAAAGUCGAUAAUGAAAAAAAGAUCGAAAAAUCUCGAUAAUCGAAUGAUGAUCGCGUGGCGACAUCUAUUUUUAGGUGGAAUUAAUGCAAAAAGAAGGAUACCAUCGGGAGGUAAUAUAGAAUGAGGUCAUCAUAUCGCGUGCCAAAUUAAAAUCAUUCAAUCAUCUAGGAACUGAUAGAUGGAUCCACUAUUAAUAAAUUAACAUGUUCCAAGUAAUUGAAUACCUAGUGAAUGAAGUUAUUGGGUCACUCUUCGUGUAUCUGAUCUUCUAAUAUUACCAUUUUAUUAGAAUAUUCUACAACCGAAAAGUAUUAAUUGAGAGUAUUAAAUUAAAAAAUUAAUUCGAAUUGAAUCAAUCUGAUUUUGAUAUAAAUUCCACUUAAAAAAAAUAUCAGAAACAUGAUGCAACUGGUACGAGGACAUGUAAUCUAAAUCAUCAGGUGGAUAAAAGCCAAAAUAAAACGUCUAACUUAACCUCAAAUCUAAUUUCAAUGAAAAUUCCGCUUGAAAAAGUAUUAGGAAUGAAGUAUAACCAGAACAAGCAUAGUGUAAUUAAAUCAUCAAGUGGAUAAGGGUUGAAACAAAACAGCCUUCAUGCUUUUAACCCCCUUUACGGUAACCAAAUAAUCGAUCCCACGUGGCUGUGCGCAAUCACAGUUGACCUAGGGCUACCGAGAAUUAUGCUAGGAAUCUCAUAAGCCACGUCCAUCACCGACCGAAUGUCUCGGUCUUCAAUUCAAUCAAGGGAACUAUUCAUACGACACAUUCUAUGUCAAGCUCGCGUUGAUUCAUUAAGAAUCAAUAAAAUCUUCGACCGCAUGCACCUGAAUUUACUUCAUGUGGAAAAUUUCUCUUGCUGAUCUACUACAUCUUUUUAUUCCUGAAUAGCUUGAUGUAGACUUAUAAACAACACCGCUACACUUCUCGAGUAAACGACCAAUCGGUCCCUUGCGAUUCUUAGAGAACGUAGAGAACAUGUUCCAGAGAAAUAUUUGUGCAGGAAAAAACGGCAUAAUGAUCAUGAUGCACGUGCAAUGAUAAACAGUCAUGCUCCCUAUGGAUUUUCCUUGUAUAAAUUUUCAAAAACUCGCAUGUUCUUGCAAUAUUUUUGAACAAGAAAACACUUCUGAUUCAAAAUUGCAGAGAUUUAAAAUUUUUUCUUUUUAUCCAUAUUUCUGAAUUCAAACUAUAUAUAUACACUUUAUAUUUUAUUUUAAUCUAUCCAUUAAAUAUUUUUACAGAAAAAGAAAUGAUUUU